Molecule: ribosomal RNA, 460 nt
Filed under: uncultured bacterium
Lineage: Bacteria
Description: partial 16S ribosomal RNA
Rfam family: Bacterial small subunit ribosomal RNA
Source: RNAcentral
CCUACGGGCGGCAGCAGUGAGGAAUAUUGGUCAAUGGACGAGAGUCUGAACCAGCCAAGUAGCGUGAAGGAUGACUGCCCUAUGGGUUGUAAACUUCUUUUAUAUGGGAAUAAAAUGUUCCACGUGUGGGAUUUUGUAUGUACCAUAUGAAUAAGGAUCGGCUAACUCCGUGCCAGCAGCCGCGGUAAUACGGAGGAUCCGAGCGUUAUCCGGAUUUAUUGGGGUUAAAGGGAGCGUAGGUGGAUUGUUAAGUCAGUUGUGAAAGUUUGCGGCUCAACCGUAAAAUUGCAGUUGAAACUGGCAGUCUUGAGGACAGUAGAGGUGGGCGGAAUUCGUGGUGUAGCGGUGAAAUGCUUAGAUAUCACGAAGAACUCCGAUUGCGAAGGCAGUUCACUGGACUGCAACUGACACUGAGGCUCGAAAGUGUGGGUAUCAAACAGGAUUAGAUACCCGUGUAGUC